CCUACGGGAGGCUGCAGUGGGGGAUAUUGCACAAUGGGGGGAACCCUGAUGCAGCGACGCCGCGUGGGUGAAGGAGUGCUUCGGCAUGUAAAGCCCUAUCGGCAGGGAAGAAGCAAGACGGUACCUGACUAAGAAGCCCCGGCUAACUACGUGCCAGCAGCCGCGGUAAUACGGAGGGGGCGAGCGUUAUCCGGAUUCACUGGGUGUAAAGGGAGCGUAGACGGCCAUGCAAGCCAGGGGUGAAAGCCCGGGGCCCAACCCCGGGACUGCCCUUGGAACUGGGCGGCUAGAGUGCGGGAGGGGCAGGAGGAAUUCCUGGUGUAGCGGUGAAAUGCGUAGAGAUCAGGAGGAACACCGGCGGCGAAGGCGGCCUGCUGGACCGCGACUGACGUUGAGGCGCGAAAGCGUGGGGAGCGAACAGGAUUAGAUACCCCUGUAGUC
This 441-nucleotide ribosomal RNA is filed under the name uncultured bacterium. RNAcentral's name for it is "partial 16S ribosomal RNA". It matches the Rfam family "Bacterial small subunit ribosomal RNA", at positions 338 to 795 of the family's 1533-position model. The record is from RNAcentral.